RNAcentral lists this ribosomal RNA (409 nucleotides) under bacterium. RNAcentral describes it as "partial 16S ribosomal RNA". It matches the Rfam family "Bacterial small subunit ribosomal RNA", at positions 355 to 776 of the family's 1533-position model. The record is from RNAcentral.
UGGGGAAUAUUGCACAAUGGGCGAAAGCCUGAUGCAGCGACGCCGCGUGAGGGAUGACGGCCUUCGGGUUGUAAACCUCUUUCAGUAGGGACGAAGCGCAAGUGACGGUACCUGCAGAAGAAGCACCGGCUAACUACGUGCCAGCAGCCGCGGUAAUACGUAGGGUGCGAGCGUUGUCCGGAAUUACUGGGCGUAAAGAGCUCGUAGGCGGUUUGUCACGUCGUCUGUGAAAUCCUAGGGCUUAACCCUGGACGUGCAGGCGAUACGGGCUGACUUGAGUACUACAGGGGAGACUGGAAUUUCUGGUGUAGCGGUGGAAUGCACAGAUAUCAGGAAGAACAACGAUGGCGAAGGCAGGUCUCUGGGUAGUAACUGACGCUGAGGAGCGAAAGCAUGGGUAGCGAACAGG